AGAGUUUGAUCCUGGCUCAGGAUGAACGCAAGAGACGCGCCUAACACAUGCAAAUCGAAUGGGAGACAACGUAACGUGCUCUCAUGGUGAACGGGUGAGUAUAACAUGAGAAUCAACCAUUAGGCAAGGUAUAACAAGAGGAAACUUUUAGUAAUCCCUUAUAUGCGCAGUAGUGCUAAGAAAGGUUCUAUAUAAAGACC
This 200-nucleotide ribosomal RNA is filed under the name uncultured bacterium. Its description in RNAcentral is "partial 16S ribosomal RNA". It matches the Rfam family "Bacterial small subunit ribosomal RNA", at positions 8 to 216 of the family's 1533-position model. The record is from RNAcentral.